AUGAUUAGUUGCGGACGGGUGAGUAACAUUUAGGAAUCUACCUAGUAGUGGGGGAUAGCUCGGGGAAACUCGAAUUAAUACCGCAUACGACCUACGGGUGAAAGGGGGCGCAAGCUCUUGCUAUUAGAUGAGCCUAAAUCAGAUUAGCUAGUUGGUGGGGUAAAGGCCCACCAAGGCGACGAUCUGUAACUGGUCUGAGAGGAUGAUCAGUCACACCGGAACUGAGACACGGUCCGG
RNAcentral lists this ribosomal RNA (237 nucleotides) under uncultured Pseudomonadales bacterium. Its description in RNAcentral is "partial 16S ribosomal RNA". It matches the Rfam family "Bacterial small subunit ribosomal RNA", at positions 88 to 334 of the family's 1533-position model. The record is from RNAcentral. Lineage: Bacteria; Pseudomonadati; Pseudomonadota; Gammaproteobacteria; Pseudomonadales.